CACGGUCCAAACUCCUACGGGAGGCAGCAGUGGGGAAUAUUGCACAAUGGGCGAAAGCCUGAUGCAGCAACGCCGCGUGAGUGAUGAAGGCCUUCGGGUCGUAAAACUCUGUCCUCAAGGAAGAUAAUGACGGUACUUGAGGAGGAAGCCCCGGCUAACUACGUGCCAGCAGCCGCGGUAAUACGUAGGGGGCUAGCGUUAUCCGGAUUUACUGGGCGUAAAGGGUGCGUAGGCGGUCUUUCAAGUCAGGAGUGAAAGGCUACGGCUCAACCGUAGUAAGCUCUUGAAACUGGGAGACUUGAGUGCAGGAGAGGAGAGUGGAAUUCCUAGUGUAGCGGUGAAAUGCGUAGAUAUUAGGAGGAACACCAGU
RNAcentral lists this ribosomal RNA (370 nucleotides) under Clostridioides difficile. Its description in RNAcentral is "bacterial SSU rRNA". It matches the Rfam family "Bacterial small subunit ribosomal RNA", at positions 325 to 713 of the family's 1533-position model. Lineage: Bacteria; Bacillati; Bacillota; Clostridia; Peptostreptococcales; Peptostreptococcaceae. The record is from RNAcentral.